RNAcentral lists this ribosomal RNA (541 nucleotides) under uncultured bacterium. RNAcentral describes it as "bacterial SSU rRNA". It matches the Rfam family "Bacterial small subunit ribosomal RNA", at positions 355 to 913 of the family's 1533-position model. The record is from RNAcentral.
UGGGGAAUCUUGGACAAUGGGGGCAACCCUGAUCCAGCCAUGCCGCGUGAGUGAUGAAGGCCUUAGGGUCGUAAAGCUCUUUCGCCUGUGAAGAUAAUGACGGUAGCCGGAGAAGAAGCCCCGGCUAACUCCGUGCCAGCAGCCGCGGUAAUACGAAGGGGGCAAGCGUUGUUCGGAAUUACUGGGCGUAAAGGGCGUGUAGGCGGUCUAAUCAGUCAGUGGUGAAAGCCCUGGGCUCAACCCAGGAAUUGCCUUUGAUACUGUUAGACUAGAGUUCGGGAGAGGAUAGUGGAAUUCCCAGUGUAGAGGUGAAAUUCGUAGAUAUUGGGAAGAACACCAGUGGCGAAGGCGGCUCACUGGCUCGAUACUGACGCUGAGGUGCGAAAGUGUGGGGAGCAAACAGGAUUAGAUACCCUGGUAGUCCACGCCGUAAACGAUGUCUACUAGCCGUUGGGAGACUUGAUUUCUUAGUGGCGCAGCUAACGCACUAAGUAGGACCGCCUGGGAGUACGGCCGCAAGGUUAAAACUUAAAUGAAUUGA